CGAAUCUUUUAUGAAUUUGCUCAGAUGUACGUCUACUUUACACUGUUUUUAGUCUCCAUCUAUGUUAAUAAGAACACAAAUCCACAAUAUCCAAGUGAAGAACGUUCAAUUCGUCCAUCCUCCUCGCUAAUAAGAUUUCUAUCAAAGCCACUGGAAAUCAAAGCCACUGGAAAGCUGGCUUCCGACCCCUCAUAUACUCAACCCGAACUUUCCAUGCCGCAUUUUUCUUAGUCCAGUCAGACUAUGCCGCUCUUUCCUCUGUCCGACCUUUCCAUGCAAGCUCCAGUGUAGGUCCACUCGGAGGAUCAAGAAACCUACUUUCUUGUUGUUAGAACACAAAUACAAGUGCGGAAUCCUUGUAAAUAUGCAACCAAAGAAAAGUAUAAAACACACACGUAACCAAAGAUUCACUUAUCUUGAUUAAACGGAAGAGAACACUUACAACACAUACACACAGUGUUUACAGACUCACCAAGCUCUCUUACAUGUUCUGCAUAACACAACUGUCUUAUAUAGACCUCCCAGCCCAGUAACAUCACGAAGAAUGUUACUGGGCCCACGAACAACCAAAGCCCACGAAGAACUAGGUUCUUCGUGAACUAUCACUACGAAGAACCAACAUGUGCAUAAAGAAGGGUCUUCGUGAAGGUCCAAUCCCACGAAGAAUAGGUUCUUCGUGUGAGGCUGCAAACAGCAAAAACAUGACAGUCACUUGUAUAGAAACAGAAAGAUAAAGCCAAACAACUUGCAGUCAUGCAAACAUGUACUGCAUAACAUAUCAAAACACUAUAACUGUCGUACCAAGUCAAGAUAGGAGGAUAUCUUGACUUGGUCGACUCGACCAAAACAUAUAGACUCGAUAAUACGAAAAGACCGUUCAUUACAUUACAACGCAAACAUAAUAAGAACAAGCGACAUACACAAAAAAGUGCAUCAACAAACUCCCCCUUGCCUGUUGCUUUGUCUUCGGUAUUUUGCCCUAGAACAUACGUAUGAAAACCACCUUUCUAUGUUGGAUAAUCGUUCAUGUGAUUUAGCUUGGGGGGACGAUUGUUGCUUCCCGUUUCACUCUCGCUUAAGAGAAGAUUUUGAAUGUUGUGAUUUUGAUUUGCGACACAUGUCCAAUGAUUUGCGGUAAUUUCUUACUUGGGCAUUAAUCCUUUGAACCAUUGUGAAAGAUCUUGGCUUGUACUUGAGUUAUCACUCCAAUCCAAGGAUUUGAGCUCAUUAUGAAUGGUUAUUUUAAGAUAAGUACUUAAAAAUGUGGAGUAGUUAACAAUGAGAGAAAUAAAAACCUUCUAUGAAAAUUGUCUGACACUUGGAGUCAUGAAGAACUGACUUACACGAAGAACCUAUUCACAAAGAAUAGACUCACGACGAACCUAUUUCAACAAAAAACCCGGGGUC
Molecule: RNA transcript, 1407 nt
Organism: Helianthus annuus (common sunflower)
Lineage: Eukaryota; Viridiplantae; Streptophyta; Magnoliopsida; Asterales; Asteraceae
Exons: 4
Source: RefSeq, a predicted model, not a curated record